Long non-coding RNA from Culex pipiens pallens (northern house mosquito), 3640 nucleotides. RefSeq lists it as uncharacterized. The transcript has 3 exons. NCBI's taxonomy places the organism in Eukaryota, Metazoa, Arthropoda, Insecta, Diptera, Culicidae. The record is from RefSeq and is a predicted model, not a curated record.
CGAGGGGGAUGACACUUCGCGAUUUGAAUAAAAUCGCGCCAAAUCGCGUCAAAUUCCUUCAUUCCUGUUCAUCGUAGCUUCAUCGCGGUCGUUUUUCCCUCAUCGCGCCAAAUCGCGCCAGAUCGCGCUCAUCGUGCUCAUCGUGUUCAGAUCGUGCUCGAAUGAAAAUUUACAUUCAUGCAGUUAGAGUUGCCAUACAAAAUUCGUUCUAGCAGUUUUCCAUGAAACUGGCCGCACUGUUGAAAUGUUUAUUUGUAUUGAUUCGAGCAGUCCGAAAAAGUAAAUAAACCGAAAUUCUUCGUUGUUUCGGGGCGGAUUGCGGCAGCUGCUCUUGAAGAUUCUUUUUUUUUUCUCGCGUUCGGACAAGGUGUUCAGUUUGAGGUUCAGCAGGAACUUUUUCACCUGGUAUGAGCUGGAGCCUGCACCCGGGGGGUGGUGACACUUCGGUGUAACUGGUGUUUCCUAUGCUGCAAGGUCUCAUCUGCUGUGAAACCGGCGAAACCUGCCUGACGGCCUUCCACCUCGAGUGACUCCACCGGAAGGUCGCUACAUCUGUGAAAAAUUCGAAUCCGGCCGAAUGAUUCUGUACGACGAAAUAGUCUGGGCCAAAUGUUCCGUGUUCAAGUUCUGACCCGCGCUCACGAUUCCCCUUCCAGCGGUCCCGGACGUAUUGUUCCGGCGGCAACACAAGCAAACGGACGUUUACGUGCGCUUCUUCGGCACGCACGACCUUGGCUGGAUCAACCGGAGGCGAAUCUACCACUAUCACGAGGUCGACGCGGACAGCGUGGCGGAUAGAAAGCGGUCGGACAUGAUGGAGCGGUACAACGAGGCUGCGCAUGGCACGGCAGGGUUUCAAGCAGCUGCAGGCAGAAAAAUCUUACGUCCAGGAAUCUGCCCCGGACGAUUUGAGCUUUAAACCGCCGAUGUACGUCAACAUCAAGUCCAGCGCGGCCAGAGACGAGGAGGAGGACUCGAUCUGUGAGGGCAAAUUGUUGGACAAGGACCCGUGCGGGUUACACUCGAAUUGCAUCAACCGGGCGCUGCUCUUGGAGUGCAAUUUGAAGACUUGUCCAGCAGGCGAAAUUCACCAGAACCAGUGUUUCAAACGGAAGUAGUACAAACGGAUACCCAACAGGUUGGAACUGGUCGCUAAGGAAGAUGCACCAGGGUCGGUUUGUGAUCGAGUCCGAGAGGGGAUCAACACCGGGGAGUUAACGCGGCGGAUAAAGCAAAAGCAGGAGCAACAGGGCAAAAAUUACUAUUUCAUGACGGUGGAAUCGGAGCUGACGAUCGACGCGGGGCCCAAGGGCAACUUGGCCCGGUUCAUCAACCACUCGUGCGAGCCUUGGUGCGAGCCCUACUGCGAAACGCUGCUUUGGAAGGUCGGCGGAAGCCAAUCCGUGGGGCUGUUUGCCCUCAGUCCUUGAGGCGGCUAAAAGCUCAUAUUAACUACAACUUUGAGAACUUCGACGACCAGAAGAUCUGCCACUGUGGUGCGGACAAGUGUUCCAGGCUGAUCGUCAGCCAAGGGACGGAGAACUGAAUUGAGGAGGCUACAACGGUCUUGCGCGACUUGCAGGUGCAGAUUGCAACGUGGGUUACCUGCUCAAGUGCUCAAACGCCAACAGUGACCCACGCCAGCGGAAAAGUACCUUGCGGAUCCAUCGUGGAAAGAAUUCUACCUUGCCAAGGGUUGACCAUUAAACGUUCACGAAGAAACGAACCUAUGUUACUAAGUUGUGUAAACCGUAACAAAAGAAUAUAAAACAAUGUAAAUGUUAUCGAAAUAAAUUCAAAACGCUGCGGCAGUUGCAGCCGCAAUCGGUGGAGCUACUCCGGUAGCCUCCUGAGCUUCGGUGGGAGGAUGUCCUCUUCUUAUCAUCUGGCUGUUUAACUUCUGAUCCAAACAAUCCUAUCGAGGAAUCUUCACAGUUCUUACCACCGCGGAUAUUCUAGCGGAAAGAUCCCGUUAGUCUCUGAGCCCCCACUUUUCUCGAUAAUUUCUCGUAACCUCAAAUUUCACUCGCCGCAGCUGCAGUUUUCUGGAAGCUAAGAUUAAAAGACACUCGAAAUCGUUGGUAGUCAUGUUUUACUUCACUCAACAGAACACGCUCGCUGUAAAUUAAACCGUUCUCAUUAACCAACCCUGAUCUGGGACCGGAAGUAGCUGCCUCGCUCAUGUUGAAGUUGCGCGAAUCCAUUCUAGUUAUCCUUUAACUUGUUUCCUUCCAAACAAGUGCUUGUUGAAUAAUAAAGGGGGAAUAAUAGAUGACACUGCAAAACUCCUGACCAUCGUAAUUAUCCCGUUAGGUGUUCUUGCCACGUAACUUCCGGGAGACCCGAGAUUUUACGGUACUGACAAUCAUAUAUUCACCGGCUUCGCUGAAAUGGAAAACCAAAUGUCGUUGAGUCCCCUCUGCCGGUCAGCAUAGGCCUUCUUCUCAAAGACCGGCGCAAAGUCGGUGGCCGUUUGACCAAUGGCGUUACAGGCGGCGUAACGAACUCUCGGAUGGGAUCCAUCAAUUACUUGACCACGCCCCGCAUGAUGUCCGUCUGCUUGUAGUAACCCUAGCCAGCGGUCGAGACGACUAUCAGAGCGGCGUGCCGUUACUUCCAGUUUGAAUGGUUCAACAUGUUCGGAAUGUUUGUGAUAAUGUGCGGCAGAAAGGGCCGAAGGCGUCGAUGGCCGGACAGCGGUCGAAGCGGAAUUCGGCGGUUGUCGCAUAGCAUCUGGCAAUGUCUCCGAAGAUCGGCGUCGUACCAUCCAGCUGCAGCAGCUUGUUCGUCUUGAGCAGGUUCUCGGUGUGGUCAACUUCGCUGUGGGUAACCAUCGUGCCAGACGCAUCCACUCGUUCUGCAAGUGGAACACCAUGUCCUCGUAAUUGAGCGGAACGCACAUGAAGUAGAUGCCCCACAGACCGGUUUCCUUUCGUAGAAGCACAGGUUGUCCUCGGCGUUUUUGGCGCCACCACCCUGCGUGCGAUACCACGCGCUAAUCAGCGUAUUGGCGACCAUCAGCGGAACAUUGUCUUGAUUGGUCCAGCCGCAACUCAAGACGGCAAUGAUGACGAGGGCCACCGGUAGCGAAUCAUCCCGGUCGCGCACUUCAGAAUCGGUGAAUCGGCACGGCGUCAGAGCGGAAGCCUUUCCGUCGAAGGUGCUGCCUACCUUCCCGAGGUAAGACUCGGUCAGCUCAACCAGGUCUCCUUGUUUGAUUCCACUGGCUGCGGCCAGGACGAUGGGGGCCUUGUAGUGCGAAUCGAUGUAAGCCUGUAGAUUCUUACAGUCUUGACCUUGGUGUUGACAGUGUUGCAAUCGGUGUUGCAAUGUCGGUGCAGACGUCGAGUGCGUGGAUUACCUCGUCAAUGCACUUGCCCCACUCGUAGUUGGAGGCCGUUCCCGCGAGUCGUCCAUCGCCACCACCGAACCAUCCUUCGGGUUGAACGUCUCAAACGGUUCGUCCAGCGUGGGGUAGAUUCCGCCGACGCACUCCGACAUGGUUUUGUUCGCCGAGUCAUCAAUGUUGAAUAUCUGCAGAUGCUCGUCCGAAUCGGCUUCAAUAUCGUGCACUCCACCAGCUCUUGUUUGUUGUUUGGACAAACGACCACGACGGCGAUAAACUGCUGCCAGCCAUGUG